RNAcentral lists this long non-coding RNA (413 nucleotides) under Hordeum vulgare. RNAcentral's name for it is "long non-coding RNA (HVUL_LNC008987)". Lineage: Eukaryota; Viridiplantae; Streptophyta; Magnoliopsida; Poales; Poaceae. The record is from RNAcentral.
AUAUAUAUUUCCAACAUCAUCAUGAAAUAUUUAACAAGCUAGAGAACACAUAGGCUAGCACAAUACAUAGUUUCACAUAGUUCAUCUAUAUAUACAUACAUAAAUUUUACAUUGUUCGUCAAUACAAAUGAAAAAAAACUAAACACUAGAGUCCAUGAAUGCCAGCUUCCAUGAAAUGAAUAAAAUCUACAAAAAAUGGAGUAAUUAAGAAAGUUAGAAGAAGAAGAAGAAGAAAAGACUAACUAAUGCACAACCUUUCGUCAUAUAAAGCUAAGACAUUUUCUACAAGCAUCACUUCUAGGAGUAGAAUCCUAACUACAAGAGCAUCAAGGAGCAAUAGGUCUAUAGGAACCAGAUCAUUUACCAUACAAGCAUCACUUAGACCAUACCAUGUCAAGGAAGGAAACAAAACA